GGAAAGAUGAAGGUGGUGCUUCUGCUCGCUUUCCUUUUCAUCACAGCCCAGUGCACACCAGUGCCAAAAUCCGAUUAUGGACUCUUUGAUUGCCUCAACAUGGACAAUAUGAAAAAACUGGGGGACAUGUUGGGAUCCUGUUUCCAACUUUCACCAUUGGAGAGGAUGCUCCUAGCCGCUAUGUCAUCAGUAACAGAAGAUGAGUAUCCUGUUCCAAAAUCUAGCUCGGCACCUCCCUCCUCCCCUUGAAGGAAAGAACAGUCCUGAUGGAUGACGCU
This is a long non-coding RNA of Nycticebus coucang (slow loris), 278 nucleotides long. RefSeq lists it as uncharacterized. The transcript has 4 exons. NCBI's taxonomy places the organism in Eukaryota, Metazoa, Chordata, Mammalia, Primates, Lorisidae. The record is from RefSeq and is a predicted model, not a curated record.